UGAAAUGAAUUCCACAGAAAAAUUUCUUCAAUAAGUCGAUGCAAAUUCCCUGACAGUCUCAUCAACCUCAGCGAAAAAAAUUAAAGCCCGUCUAGUAGAAGUAAUGUAAUCCCAAGUCCUUAAGCGUCGUAAAUGCUCUGUUCACUCCCUUUUGCUGGCCCAUUGCAAACACAGCUCUUGUCAGAGUCCUGCAAACAAAUUUUGGUUAAGCAUUCUUAUGGAGUGGUAAGAAUCUCUGAUAUAAACUUUAUCAAAGAACAAAUCCCGCCCAAGAAGUUAUGAUCAAUAACGCCAUUGCCUUCCACGACGUGUGCAAAG
This 318-nucleotide unclassified non-coding RNA is filed under the name Hevea brasiliensis (rubber tree). Lineage: Eukaryota; Viridiplantae; Streptophyta; Magnoliopsida; Malpighiales; Euphorbiaceae. The record is from RNAcentral.